Molecule: long non-coding RNA, 1001 nt
Filed under: Citrus x clementina
Lineage: Eukaryota; Viridiplantae; Streptophyta; Magnoliopsida; Sapindales; Rutaceae
Description: Citrus clementina (C. clementina) long non-coding RNA (CCLE_LNC002631)
Source: RNAcentral
AAAAAUAUGAAAAAAUUAUAGGGAUACAAAAAUCAGUUUAGAGAAUGGGAAUCCUCAUUCCCAACCCCCCAUGAGAAUGUGAUUCACAUUUCUUAUUCCUAAAUUAUGUGGGACCUACACAUUUUAUUCUCAUUCUCAAAUUAUAUUUUUACCAAGUAAACAUAAAUUCAUUCUCAUCUCUUUAUUUCUAUUCCAUAAACCCUCAAGUAAACAUACCAUAAAUUUUAAAAGUUUUACUUAAAGAUAGGGAUGGCAAUAAAAUCUGGAUCCGGCCUGCAUCUACAAGGAUCUGGAAGAUCCAGAUUCGAAAAAAUACGGAUUCGCAUGUUAAAAAAUGCAGAUCCGGAUAUAGAAAAUUAGAAUCCACACGGAUCCGGAUCCUAAUCCAGAUGCAAGUGCAUCCGAAAAGCUAGAUAUCUAAAUCCAUUUAAUUUUUAUAUUAAAUUAAAAUAUAUAUUAACUUAAAGUAAAAACAAAUUUAACUUAAGUCCCUCACCCUAAUGUCAAUAUCGCAUUCACACACACGCUCACAAUACUUCACUAGCAGCUGCGACCCACAAAUCCUUAACACCCAAAUCCCCCAAUUUCGUAAGGAUGUCAUCGUCUGUCUCAUGGCCUCGCCUAAACCUUGUGUCCAAGCCUCGCCCUGAGUCGGUUGUUGUCGGUACACGCUGCACAUCUCGCCGUUAUCGAAUCCUUGCCAUCAUCGAAGCCUCGACUAAGCACGCCGCUAUCACUGUUGUCCAAGCCUCGCCUAAUUGGAUAUUUCUUUUGUUUCCGUUUUUUUGGUAUUAUUAAUUACAUGGCAUUUAUUUUUUCUAGUUAAUGAUUUGGUAUUUUGAUUGAUUGGUUGGUUAUAUUUAAUGAGUUUAAUCUAAUGUAACUUGUUUAAACUUCAAAAUUUUACUGGCUCAAUUUAAUUUUCUUUGCUGAUUUGUUUAGUCACUUUAAUUAAAUGCAUUAAUUUUUAAUAUAAUGUAAAUGUUUAAUAGGUUUUGGGA